CUGGCGGCGUGCCUAAUACAUGCAAGUAGAACGCUGAAGAGAGGAGCUUGCUCUUCUUGGAUGAGUUGCGAACGGGUGAGUAACGCGUAGGUAACCUGCCUUGUAGCGGGGGAUAACUAUUGGAAACGAUAGCUAAUACCGCAUAACAAUGGAUGACACAUGUCAUUUAUUUGAAAGGGGCAAAUGCUCCACUACAAGAUGGACCUGCGUUGUAUUAGCUAGUAGGUGAGGUAACGGCUCACCUAGGCGACGAUACAUAGCCGACCUGAGAGGGUGAUCGGCCACACUGGGACUAAGACACGGCCCAGACUCCUACGGGAGGCAGCAGUAGGGAAUCUUCGGCAAUGGGGGCAACCCUGACCGAGCAACGCCGCGCGAGUGAAGAAGGUUUUCGGAUCGUAAAGCUCUGUUGUAAGUCAAGAACGAGUGUGAGAGUGGAAAGUUCACACUGUGACGGUAGCUUACCAGAAAGGGACGGCUAACUACGUGCCAGCAGCCGCGGUAAUACGUAGGUCCCGAGCGUUGUCCGGAUUUAUUGGGCGUAAAGCGAGCGCAGGCGGUUUGAUAAGUCUGAAGUUAAAGGCUGUGGCUCAACCAUAGUUCGCUUUGGAAACUGUCAAACUUGAGUGCAGAAGGGGAGAGUGGAAUUCCAUGUGUAGCGGUGAAAUGCGUAGAUAUAUGGAGGAACACCGGUGGCGAAAGCGGCUCUCUGGUCUGUAACUGACGCUGAGGCUCGAGAGCGUGGGGAGCGAACAGGAUUAGAUACCCUGGUAGUCCACGCCGUAAACGAUGAGUGCUAGGUGUUGGAUCCUUUCCGGGAUUCAGUGCCGCAGCUAACGCAUUAAGCACUCCGCCUGGGGAGUACGACCGCAAGGUUGAAACUCAAAGGAAUUGACGGGGGCCCGCACAAGCGGUGGAGCAUGUGGUUUAAUUCGAAGCAACGCGAAGAACCUUACCAGGUCUUGACAUCCCGAUGCUAUUUCUAGAGAUAGAAAGUUACUUCGGUACAUCGGUGACAGGUGGUGCAUGGUUGUCGUCAGCUCGUGUCGUGAGAUGUUGGGUUAAGUCCCGCAACGAGCGCAACCCCUAUUGUUAGUUGCCAUCAUUCAGUUGGGCACUCUAGCGAGACUGCCGGUAAUAAACCGGAGGAAGGUGGGGAUGACGUCAAAUCAUCAUGCCCCUUAUGACCUGGGCUACACACGUGCUACAAUGGUUGGUACAACGAGUUGCGAGUCGGUGACGGCAAGCUAAUCUCUUAAAGCCAAUCUCAGUUCGGAUUGUAGGCUGCAACUCGCCUACAUGAAGUCGGAAUCGCUAGUAAUCGCGGAUCAGCACGCCGCGGUGAAUACGUUCCCGGGCCUUGUACACACCGCCCGUCACACCACGAGAGUUUGUAACACCCGAAGUCGGUGAGGUAACCUUUUGGAGCCAGCCGCCUAAGGUGGGAUAGAU
RNAcentral lists this ribosomal RNA (1452 nucleotides) under uncultured organism. RNAcentral describes it as "16S ribosomal RNA". It matches the Rfam family "Bacterial small subunit ribosomal RNA". The record is from RNAcentral.